RNAcentral lists this ribosomal RNA (372 nucleotides) under uncultured bacterium. Its description in RNAcentral is "bacterial SSU rRNA". It matches the Rfam family "Bacterial small subunit ribosomal RNA", at positions 29 to 404 of the family's 1533-position model. The record is from RNAcentral.
AUUGAACGCUGGCGGCAUGCCUUACACAUGCAAGUCGAACGGUAACGCGGGGCAACCUGGCGACGAGUGGCGAACGGGUGAGUAAUACAUCGGAACGUGCCCAGUAGUGGGGGAUAGCCCGGCGAAAGCCGGAUUAAUACCGCAUACGACCUACGGGUGAAAGCGGGGGAUCGCAAGACCUCGCGCUAUUGGAGCGGCCGAUGUCAGAUUAGGUAGUUGGUGGGGUAAAGGCCUACCAAGCCUACGAUCUGUAGCUGGUCUGAGAGGACGACCAGCCACACUGGGACUGAGACACGGCCCAGACUCCUACGGGAGGCAGCAGUGGGGAAUUUUGGACAAUGGGCGCAAGCCUGAUCCAGCCAUGCCGCGUGC